CUACGGGGGGCACCAGUGGGGAAUAUUGCACAAUGGAGGAAACUCUGAUGCAGCAACGCCGCGUGGGGGAUGACACUUUUCGGAGCGUAAACUCCUUUUAUAUGAGAAGAUAAUGACGGUAUCAUAUGAAUAAGCAUCGGCUAACUCCGUGCCAGCAGCCGCGGUAAUACGGAGGAUGCAAGCGUUACUCGGAAUCACUGGGCGUAAAGAGCAUGUAGGCUGGUUGGUCAGUCAGGUGUGAAAUGCUACAGCUUAACUGUAGAACUGCACUUGAAACUGCCAACCUAGAGUAUGGAAGGGGCAGAUGGAAUUAGUGGUGUAGGGGUAAAAUCCGUAGAGAUCACUAGGAAUACCGAAAGCGAAGGCGAUCUGCUGGGACAUAACUGACGCUGAGAUGCGAAAGCGUGGGGAGCAAACAGGAUUAGAUACCCGCGUAGUC
RNAcentral lists this ribosomal RNA (439 nucleotides) under uncultured bacterium. RNAcentral's name for it is "partial 16S ribosomal RNA". It matches the Rfam family "Bacterial small subunit ribosomal RNA", at positions 339 to 795 of the family's 1533-position model. The record is from RNAcentral.